AAUGUUAUGGACACUAGAUGACAU
RNAcentral lists this microRNA (24 nucleotides) under Oryza sativa (Asian cultivated rice). RNAcentral's name for it is "osa-miR5815". Lineage: Eukaryota; Viridiplantae; Streptophyta; Magnoliopsida; Poales; Poaceae. The record is from miRBase by way of RNAcentral.